UGGGGUGUAGCUCAGUAGUAAAGCACAUGCCUACUAUGUAUGAGGCUCUGGGUUUGAUGCCAAGUACCACAA
RNAcentral lists this transfer RNA (72 nucleotides) under Cavia porcellus (domestic guinea pig). It matches the Rfam family "tRNA". From Rfam's summary of the family: Transfer RNA (tRNA) molecules are approximately 80 nucleotides in length. Their secondary structure includes four short double-helical elements and three loops (D, anti-codon, and T loops). The record is from Rfam by way of RNAcentral. Lineage: Eukaryota; Metazoa; Chordata; Mammalia; Rodentia; Caviidae.